GCCCCGCUAACUCAUCCGGUAGAGUAACGCCCUUUUAAGGCGUGAGUGGCAGGUUCGAGUCCUGCGCGGGGUACCA
Molecule: transfer RNA, 76 nt
Filed under: Candidatus Omnitrophota bacterium
Lineage: Bacteria; Pseudomonadati; Candidatus Omnitrophota
Description: tRNA-Lys
Rfam family: tRNA
About the family: Transfer RNA (tRNA) molecules are approximately 80 nucleotides in length. Their secondary structure includes four short double-helical elements and three loops (D, anti-codon, and T loops).
Source: RNAcentral